This 122-nucleotide ribosomal RNA is filed under the name Escherichia coli B7-1. Its description in RNAcentral is "partial 23S ribosomal RNA". The record is from RNAcentral. Lineage: Bacteria; Pseudomonadati; Pseudomonadota; Gammaproteobacteria; Enterobacterales; Enterobacteriaceae.
CCGAAGGUGUUUUGGCGGAUGAGAGAAGAUUUUCGGCCUGAUACAGAUUAAAUCAGAACGCAGAAGCGGUCUGAUAAAACAGAAUUUGCCUGGCGGCCUUAGCGCGGUGGUCCCACCUGACC